GCCUUCGUGCUGUAGUGGUCAGCACACUGAGCCGGUAUUUCAGAGGUCCGUGGUUCGAUUCCCGGCGAAGGCG
This 73-nucleotide transfer RNA is filed under the name Stegodyphus mimosarum. It matches the Rfam family "tRNA". From Rfam's summary of the family: Transfer RNA (tRNA) molecules are approximately 80 nucleotides in length. Their secondary structure includes four short double-helical elements and three loops (D, anti-codon, and T loops). Further hydrogen bonds mediate the characteristic L-shaped molecular structure. tRNAs have two regions of fundamental functional importance: the anti-codon, which is responsible for specific mRNA codon recognition, and the 3' end, to which the tRNAs corresponding amino acid is attached (by aminoacyl-tRNA synthetases). tRNAs cope with the degeneracy of the genetic code in two manners: having more than one tRNA (with a specific anti-codon) for a particular amino acid; and 'wobble' base-pairing, i.e. permitting non-standard base-pairing at the 3rd anti-codon position. The record is from Rfam by way of RNAcentral. Lineage: Eukaryota; Metazoa; Arthropoda; Arachnida; Araneae; Eresidae.